This 1343-nucleotide ribosomal RNA is filed under the name uncultured bacterium. Its description in RNAcentral is "16S ribosomal RNA". It matches the Rfam family "Bacterial small subunit ribosomal RNA", at positions 28 to 1378 of the family's 1533-position model. The record is from RNAcentral.
GACGAACGCUGGCGGCGUGCUUAACACAUGCAAGUCGAACGGAAAGGCCCUGCUUUUGUGGGGUGCUCGAGUGGCGAACGGGUGAGUAACACGUGAGUAACCUGCCCUUGACUUUGGGAUAACUUCAGGAAACUGGGGCUAAUACCGGAUAGGAGCUCCUGCUGCAUGGUGGGGGUUGGAAAGUUUCGGCGGUUGGGGAUGGACUCGCGGCUUAUCAGCUUGUUGGUGGGGUAGUGGCUUACCAAGGCUUUGACGGGUAGCCGGCCUGAGAGGGUGACCGGCCACAUUGGGACUGAGAUACGGCCCAGACUCCUACGGGAGGCAGCAGUGGGGAAUAUUGCACAAUGGGCGGAAGCCUGAUGCAGCAACGCCGCGUGCGGGAUGACGGCCUUCGGGUUGUAAACCGCUUUCGCCUGUGACGAAGCGUGAGUGACGGUAAUGGGUAAAGAAGCACCGGCUAACUACGUGCCAGCAGCCGCGGUGAUACGUAGGGUGCGAGCGUUGUCCGGAUUUAUUGGGCGUAAAGGGCUCGUAGGUGGUUGAUCGCGUCGGAAGUGUAAUCUUGGGGCUUAACCCUGAGCGUGCUUUCGAUACGGGUUGACUUGAGGAAGGUAGGGGAGAAUGGAAUUCCUGGUGGAGCGGUGGAAUGCGCAGAUAUCAGGAGGAACACCAGUGGCGAAGGCGGUUCUCUGGGCCUUUCCUGACGCUGAGGAGCGAAAGCGUGGGGAGCGAACAGGCUUAGAUACCCUGGUAGUCCACGCUGUAAACGGUGGGUACUAGGUGUGGGGUCCAUUCCACGGGUUCCGUACCGUAGCUAACGCUUUAAGUACCCCGCCUGGGGAGUACGGCCGCAAAGCUAAAACUCAAAGGAAUUGACGGGGCCCCGCACAAGCGGCGGAGCAUGCGGAUUAAUUCGAUGCAACGCGUAGAACCUUACCUGGGUUUGACAUGGAUCGGGAGUGCUCAGAGAUGGGUGUGCCUCUUUUGGGGUCGGUUCACAGGUGGUGCAUGGCUGUCGUCAGCUCGUGUCGUGAGAUGUUGGGUUAAGUCCCGCAACGAGCGCAACCCUUGUUCACUGUUGCCAGCACGUUAUGGUGGGGACUCAGUGGAGACCGCCGGGGUCAACUCGGAGGAAGGUGGGGAUGGCGUCAAGUCAUCAUGCCCCUUAUGUCCAGGGCUUCACGCAUGCUACAAUGGCUGGUACAGAGAGUGGCGAGCCUGUGAGGGUGAGCGAAUCUCGGAAAGCCGGUCUCAGUUCGGAUUGGGGUCUGCAACUCGACCUCAUGAAGUCGGAGUCGCUAGUAAUCGCAGAUCAGCAACGCUGCGGUGAAUACGUUCCCGGG